This 528-nucleotide ribosomal RNA is filed under the name bacterium endosymbiont of Nycterophylia coxata. RNAcentral describes it as "bacterial SSU rRNA". It matches the Rfam family "Bacterial small subunit ribosomal RNA", at positions 50 to 571 of the family's 1533-position model. The record is from RNAcentral.
UACACAUGCAGUCGUGCGGUAAUAGAGGAACAUUUCUAACGAGCGGCGAACGGGUGAGUAAUGUAUGGGGAUCUGCCCAAUAGAGAGGAAUAACUAUUGGAAACGAUAGCUAAUGCCUCAUAAUCUCUGAGGAGCAAAGUAGGGGAUUUUAGAAAUAAAACCUUACACUAUUGGAUGAACCCAUAUGAGAUUAACUAGUAGGUAAGGUAAUGGCUUACCUAGGUUACGAUCUCUAGCUGGUCUGAGAGGAUGAACAGCCACACUGGGACUGAGACACGGCCCAGACUCCUACGGGAGGCAGCAGUGGGGAAUAUUGCACAAUGGGCGAAAGCCUGAUGCAGCCAUGCCGCGUGUAUGAAGAAGGCCUUAGGGUUGUAAAGUACUUUCAGUUGGAAAGAAAGUAAUAAUGCUAAUAUCAUUAUUAUCUGACGUUACUAACAAAAGAAGCACCGGCUAACUCCGUGCCAGCAGCCGCGGUAAUACGGAGGGUGCUAGCGUUAAUCGGAAUUACUGGGCGUAAAGCGCACG